GGGAUUUACGAUUUUGGAUGGAACUCUAAAUUGGGGAUUUACGAAAUUGUAUGGACUCUCGAAGAAGUAGGGAUUUACGAUUUUGGAUGGAACUCUGAAUUGGGGAUCUAUGAAAUUGUAUUGACUCACGAAGAAGUAGGGAUUUACGAUUUUGGAUGGAAUUCUCAAUUGGGGAUUUAUGAAAUUGUAUGGACUCUCCAAGAAUAUAAGUUAUCCCUCUUAUCGUACGAAUCAAAUUGAAAUGGGGCAGAAGUUAUGGAACGACAUUCGUGCAGAGACUAAUAAGGUUCUAUUUUACCAAUCUCUUAUGACCGACACUAUUGGAUUCCGAAAUAAUGAAAAAAGAACUGCAACAUAAAACGGAAUUAAUGAAAAAAAUCAAGAAGGAAAAAAAUAAGAGUUUGCUCUUUAUGGGAGAAGUCCCACAACGAGAGUGAAGAGCAAUCGUUCGCUGAAAUGUACUUUAGGUAGACUUGGUGGUAGGUCCGUCUUAGUUAUGGAUGUUUGCGAUCUCACAACCAUCCGUACAUUUAGAUGUUUUUAUCCCAACGGAAGACUUAGGUUCACUGUGGGUUCCAGCAUCCCGGAGUCUUCUGCCACUCUGAUAAGAGAGUUGGACGUUGCAGUUGGGAUUGAAAAAAAACUGGCGAGUCGUGACAAGAUACUAAAUACUAA
This is a long non-coding RNA of Erythranthe guttata (spotted monkey flower), 675 nucleotides long. RefSeq lists it as uncharacterized. The record is from RefSeq and is a predicted model, not a curated record. NCBI's taxonomy places the organism in Eukaryota, Viridiplantae, Streptophyta, Magnoliopsida, Lamiales, Phrymaceae.